CUGAUAAUUUUAAAUGGCCGCAGAAUUUUAACUGUGCAAAGGUAGCAUAAUCAUUAGUCUUUUAAUUGAGGGCUUGUAUGAAUGAUUGAACGAGAUAUAGACUGUCUCAAAUAUAGAUAUAUAGAAUUUUAUUUUUUAGUAAAAAAGCUAAAAUGAAUUUAAAAGACGAGAAGACCCUAUAGAUCUUUAUAUGAAAAUAUAAUAUUUUUUUAAGGUUUAUUUUUAAAAUAUUAUAUUUUCAUGUUUUAUUGGGGCGAUAUUGAAAUUUAAAAAACUUUCAAUUAUUUAUUUCACUAAUUAGUGAUUUUUUGAUCCUUUAUUAUUGAUUAAAAAUUUAAGUUACCUUAGGGAUAACAGCGUAAUUAUUUUGGAGAGUUCAUAUCGAUAAAAUAGAUUGCGACCUCGAUGUUGGAUUAAGAAAAAUCUUAGGCGUAGCAGUUUAGGGUAUUAAGUCUGUUCGACUUUUAAUUUCUUACAUGAUC
RNAcentral lists this ribosomal RNA (482 nucleotides) under Chrysosoma bearni. RNAcentral's name for it is "partial 16S ribosomal RNA". It matches the Rfam family "Bacterial large subunit ribosomal RNA", at positions 1912 to 2605 of the family's 2925-position model. The record is from RNAcentral. Lineage: Eukaryota; Metazoa; Arthropoda; Insecta; Diptera; Dolichopodidae.